AGUUUUUCAGGCAGUGUCUGUAUCCCCUGAGAAAGUGGGAACCCUUUUACGAAACAAGAUGGACAUGAUUUUUCCUUAUUCCUUCCUGCCAACUUACUGGCCCACUUAUUCCUUACUGGCCUACCAGAAGCGAGUGAAAGAGGCUGCUUGCCAGGAGGUGAGAGGAACCAGAGGACAGUGGUAAUGCAAUGCGUUUUGGGUUUCAAAUACCAAAAUUGGGACAGUGGAAAAUUCCUCAACUGAUUUGGAUGACCAGUAAUAUCGACUGUAACUACUGGGGAUUUCUUAGAACAGUUCUCAAAGGAAUACACCUUACAUUAUGACCCAGGACACAAACAUACACAAAUGUCUACAAACGUACAUAAAUCACCAAUUUAUUGUAAAAGGAUGUAACUCAGAAAAGCCAGAUGGAAAAGAUGCACAGGACAAGCACUUAGAAAGUGUUUGGCACAGAUCACACCUGCAUAGGAUCUAGAGUAGAUCUGCUUAACUGAGCCCAGGGGGGAAUGCCUGGAACAGCAGAAGCAGACCUCCUGCAACUUCCAGAUGACAGCAUGAGGACAAAAGCCAGCAGGCUAAGCACAGCAGAGUGGGAAGAGAGCUGAGUCCCUUAUGGCAUCAUUUUGCAGCUGAACUGAUGCCAGCAACAACCUGCCUCUGGACUUAAGAAUGCAAGACACUUUCUGGAUGGACUGGAAUAUCUCGGAAAGAGGCACCAGUUUUCAGUUACUAAUUGCUUGGGUCCCAGGUUUGACUGGCCAUCAAACCGAGCGGAAAGAAGAAGAAAACAGGUCUUGUUUUGAUUUGGUUUAUUGGGGGUGCAGGAGACUAUGGGAGGAGACAUAAAGACAAUGUACGGAAAGCAGAUCAGGGAGAAGGGUAGCAAGGAGCAGGGUUUCCAGAGGGGCCUUCGGAAACCUAGAAGCUGGUCCCUGAGGUUGCCCACGAAGAGAGAGGGUCCAGGCUAGGAGAUUUCUGUGCCCAGGAGAGGCUUGGGAGCUGAGCCCUCAUACCCCAUCAG
Molecule: long non-coding RNA, 1021 nt
Filed under: Equus asinus (donkey)
Lineage: Eukaryota; Metazoa; Chordata; Mammalia; Perissodactyla; Equidae
Description: lncRNA (ENSEASG00005034448.1)
Source: RNAcentral